UUCCGGAGCUAACGCGUUAAAUCGACCGCCUGGGGAGUACGGCCGCAAGGUUAAAACUCAAAUGAAUUGACGGGGGCCCGCACAAGCGGUGGAGCAUGUGGUUUAAUUCGAUGCAACGCGAAGAACCUUACCUGGUCUUGACAUCCACAGAACUUUCCAGAGAUGGAUUGGUGCCUUCGGGAACUGUGAGACAGGUGCUGCAUGGCUGUCGUCAGCUCGUGUUGUGAAAUGUUGGGUUAAGUCCCGCAACGAGCGCAACCCUUAUCCUUUGUUGCCAGCGGUCCGGCCGGGAACUCAAAGGAGACUGCCAGUGAUAAACUGGAGGAAGGUGGGGAUGACGUCAAGUCAUCAUGGCCCUUACGACCAGGGCUACACACGUGCUACAAUGGCGCAUACAAAGAGAAGCGACCUCGCGAGAGCAAGCGGACCUCAUAAAGUGCGUCGUAGUCCGGAUUGGAGUCUGCAACUCGACUCCAUGAAGUCGGAAUCGCUAGUAAUCGUAGAUCAGAAUGCUACGGUGAAUACGUUCCCGGGCCUUGUACACACCGCCCGUCACACCAUGGGAGUGGGUUGCAAAAGAAGUAGGUAGCUUAACCUUCGGGAGGGCGCUUACCACUUUGUGAUUCAUGACUGGGG
RNAcentral lists this ribosomal RNA (636 nucleotides) under bacterium IRQ_01. RNAcentral describes it as "bacterial SSU rRNA". It matches the Rfam family "Bacterial small subunit ribosomal RNA", at positions 844 to 1480 of the family's 1533-position model. The record is from RNAcentral.